GGGUGAGAAACGGAGGCCUUCAGCCAACAGCUGGGAGAAGCUGAGUCCCAUCAGCCAUUCAAAAGACUGCAGCCCCAGCCAAGAGUUUGAUGUAACCUCAGGAGAGACCCUGAGCCAGAACCACCUAGGAGAUGAUGAGCUCCUGGGCAAGACUGAGGUUUGUGUCAUUUUGCAUCCCCAGCACCGAGAAGAGUACCUGGCACUUAUUGGUGCGCAGACAAUGUUUACUGCAUGAUUAGAAGGUUUAACUGGAAAAACCUACUAACCUCUGGCCAACGAGCUAUACCUAGUGAUUCCAAAGUCCACAUAUAUUUACUCUGUUCUCACUGUACAAAGUAACCACUCUGAAGUCAAAAAAGCUGGGAUACAUGAAGACUGCCAUCCCUUGAGUCACUUGCCCUGUAGCUGCCACUGUUGGAAAAGGGCUUGCUUCUGUGUCCUUGUGCCCACUUUGAAAAUCCCUGGGAAGUCCUUGGAGUCAGAUGAGCAGGCCUCCGCCACUCUGCCAAAAAGUCUGUUCACAGGAAGUUUCACAUCACUAGAGAAGAGAGAAGAAGGACAUUUGUACUGGGAGGAGUCGACCGGUCCCAGUAAGGAGAAAGUAGCUACAGCGUCAUGGGUGAGCUGGGUCCCCCAAAAAGGAACUUUAAGGGAAUGGACUGAAUCAAGUCUGAGAUGUCCCCAAAGCAAGACCAAAGAACUGAGGAAGAGAAGCAUUCAUCAGAAACCAAAAUUCAGCUACAAGUGAGCAUCCAGAUGGAGGUAUUAUGAAGAGGAACUGAGACUGAGGGCAAAAGGUGCCAGCCAGAAUCCUGGAUAGGAGAGCAAGAACCAGGACCUCAUUUAAGAGACAACCUGCUUAAGGCAGAGUAAGCACAAAUGGGCACUCAACAUCAAUGAAGUAACAGCAAAGUCACAUAAUAAAAGCAUGGAAUUAAGACAAGCUGAAGAUUCGGAUGCAAUAAAACAACCACCCAUUAU
This 981-nucleotide long non-coding RNA is filed under the name Homo sapiens (human). RNAcentral's name for it is "novel transcript". Lineage: Eukaryota; Metazoa; Chordata; Mammalia; Primates; Hominidae. The record is from RNAcentral.